GCUUACACCCCUAAUUACAGGUUUAGUGGGUAUGAAUGCUUUUGGCCAUGCUGAUUGUUUCUUCUGGUUCUUCAUGCGUUGAAUUUAAAUUCUAGCUUUGAAUUACUUGUGAUUCUGGUUCUAAAAAGUUGUGGGGCUUUCUGUCUUGAAGCUUUUUACCUGUGUUUUAAUCUUUUGUGACUGUUUCUUAGUCAACUCCUACUACUGCUUGAAUUUCUAGACUUUAAGUUCUUGCUCAACUUGUUGAUUCGGUUGUCUUUGUUGGUCUUGGAAUUGUUGUUUGCUGUUGUUGUGCUCUUUCUCGACUGCCUCUGAUUUUAGAUUGCUUGGUGCUUUUUCUGGUUUGAUCUCUUGUUCAGUGUUUAAGGCUAAUUUUCACUGCCUAUGUGUGCUGGCUUCA
This 400-nucleotide long non-coding RNA is filed under the name Durio zibethinus. Its description in RNAcentral is "long non-coding RNA (DZIB_LNC001098)". Lineage: Eukaryota; Viridiplantae; Streptophyta; Magnoliopsida; Malvales; Malvaceae. The record is from RNAcentral.